GAUGAACGCUGGCGGCGUGCCUAACACAUGCAAGUCGAGCGAGAUUAGUGCAAGUGGAGACCUCGGUCAAAGCGACCACUAUGAAAGCGGCGGACGGAGAGUAACGCGUGAGCAAUCUGCCCCAUACAAAGGGAUACCCACUGGAAACGGUGAUUAAUACCUUAUAAGACCACAGAGUCGCAUGGCUCGGGGGUCAAAGAUUUAUCGGUAUGGGAUGAGCUCGAGUCUGAUUAGCUAGUUGGUGAGGUAAUGGCUCACCAAGGCGACGAUCAGUAGCCGACCUGAGAGGGUGAACGGCCACACUGGAACUGAGACACGGUCCAGACUCCUACGGGAGGCAGCAGUGGGGAAUAUUGCACAAUGGGCGCAAGCCUGAUGCAGCAACGCCGCGUGAAUGAUGAAGGCCUUCGGGUCGUAAAGUUCUGUCCAAAGGGAAGAAUACAGUGACGGUACCUUUGGAGGAAGCCCCGGCUAACUACGUGCCAGCAGCCGCCGUAA
Molecule: ribosomal RNA, 498 nt
Filed under: uncultured bacterium
Lineage: Bacteria
Description: partial 16S ribosomal RNA
Rfam family: Bacterial small subunit ribosomal RNA
Source: RNAcentral